Molecule: ribosomal RNA, 663 nt
Filed under: Thaxterogaster alboaggregatus
Lineage: Eukaryota; Fungi; Basidiomycota; Agaricomycetes; Agaricales; Cortinariaceae
Description: eukaryotic LSU rRNA
Rfam family: 5.8S ribosomal RNA (bases 260-413)
Source: RNAcentral
GGUGACCUGCGGAGGAUCAUUAUUGAAAUAAACCUGAUGAGUUGCUGCUGGUUCUCUAGGGAACAUGUGCACACUUGUCGUCUUUAUAUAUCUCCACCUGUGCACCUUUUGUAGACCUGGAUAUCUCUCUGAGUGCUAGCACUUAGGUUUGAGGAUUGACUUUAUGUCUGUCCUUAGAUUUCUGGGCCUAUGUUUCUUCAUAUACUCCAAUGUAUGUUAUUGAAUGUAAUAAUGGGCCUUUGUGCCUAUAAAGCUAUACAACUUUCAGCAACGGAUCUCUUGGCUCUCGCAUCGAUGAAGAACGCAGCGAAAUGCGAUAAGUAAUGUGAAUUGCAGAAUUCAGUGAAUCAUCGAAUCUUUGAACGCACCUUGCGCUCCUUGGUAUUCCGAGAAGCAUGYCUGUUUGAGUGUCAUUAAUAUAAUCAACCUCUUCAGCUUUUGCUUGUUGAGUUGUUGGANUGUGGGGGCCUUUCUUUUGCUGGACUCUCUCUCUGAGGUCAGCUCCCCUGAAAUACAUUAGCCGAACAAUUUGUGGACCGUUCAUUGGUGUGAUAACUAUCUACGCUAUUUGACGUGAAACAGUUCAGCUUCUAGUAGUCCAUUGACUUGGACAAAUCUUCAUUAAUGUGACCUCAAAUCAGGUAGGACUACCCGCUGAACUUA